Molecule: long non-coding RNA, 1209 nt
Organism: Oncorhynchus tshawytscha (Chinook salmon)
Lineage: Eukaryota; Metazoa; Chordata; Actinopteri; Salmoniformes; Salmonidae
Source: Ensembl
CCCCCUCCAUCAGCCUCUGCCUUGCCCCCUAGCUAUUACUGUUGGUCAACACCUGUCUUGUACCAGCCCUCCAACAAGGUCGCUGUAGUGCAAAUAGGCUGACUGUUGCUGACUGACUGCUGGCUCCUGAUAGGCUCCUCUCGGAAAGGGAAGGCUCGGGUCCCAGGGUCAUUUUCGGAAAGGCGAGGAGACUGUGUUUGGUUUCGCUCCUGGGACCAGUCUGAGAAGAGGAAAGAGAAGCAAAUGAAGAAAAAGAGAGAAACAGUAGCUUUUAACACAGUGUAGACCGGGGGGUUGUUUUAACACAGUGUAGGCAGGGGGUUGUUUUAACACAGUGUAGGCAGGGGGCUGUUUUAACACAGUGUAGACAGGGGGUUGUUUUAAGACAGUGUAGACAGGGGGUUGUUUUAACACAGUGUAGACAGGGGGUUGUUUUAACACAGUGUAGGCAGGGGGUUGUUUUAACACAGUGUAGACAGGGGGGUUGUUUUAACACAGUGUAGACAGGGGGUUGUUUUAACACAGUGUAGACAGAGGGUUGUUUUAACACAGUGUAGACAGGGGGUUGUUCUAACACAGUGUAGACAGGGGGUUGUUUUAACACAGUGUACGCAGGGGGUUGUUUUAACACAGUGUAGACAGGGGGUUGUUUUAACACAGUGUAGACAGGGGGUUGUUUUAACACAGUGUAGACAGAGGGUUGUUUUAACACAGUGUAGACAGGGGGUUGUUUUAACACAGUGUAGACAGAGGGUUGUUUUAACACAGUGUAGGCAGGGGGUUGUUUUAACACAGUGUAGACAGGGGGUUGUUUUAACACAGUGUAGACAGAGGGUUGUUUUAACACAGUCUAGACAGGGGGCUGUUUUAACACAGUUGUGUGAGUUGUGGCUUAUGAACUUCUACUUCUGGUAGGUUCUUAUCUCGGGCUCCUGAUUGGCUCAUUGCGGUCUAAGGCACUGCAUCUCUGGUGCUACAGGCGUCACUACAGACCCUGGUUCGAUUCCAGGCUGUAUCCACCACCGGCCGUGAUUGGGAGUCCCAUAAGGCAUAACACAAUUGGCUGUCUGCGUUUUGCCGGGGAUAGGCUGUCAUUGUAAAUAUGAAUUUGUUCUUCACUGACUUGUCUAGUUAAAUAAAGCUUAAUAAAUAAAAUAAAGUACCAGGAGAGUGAGCACUGCCAUUGAUUAGAGCACACACACACACAGC